Molecule: non-coding RNA, 216 nt
Organism: Camelina sativa (false flax)
Lineage: Eukaryota; Viridiplantae; Streptophyta; Magnoliopsida; Brassicales; Brassicaceae
Source: RefSeq, a predicted model, not a curated record
AAAGAUCAUGUGGAUGAGAAAGAUGUGAAUCCUCCUCCUAGCAUAUGCCGUGGUUGCAACUCUGCGAUUGAGGAUGGAAUAAAGUUUGAUGCCUUUGAUGUUCCUUGGCAUCCUCCGUGUUUAAUCCUUCAUUCUCAACAAUUGCCAAUUGCUACGAACAAGAUUCCAUGCUAUGUCUGUAAUAAGAAGAUUAAAAGAGAGUUCCAUGCUCAUCCG